Molecule: ribosomal RNA, 466 nt
Filed under: uncultured bacterium
Lineage: Bacteria
Description: partial 16S ribosomal RNA
Rfam family: Bacterial small subunit ribosomal RNA
Source: RNAcentral
GAUGAACGCUGGCGGCGUGCUUAACACAUGCAAGUCGAACGGUGAAGCACUGCUUGCUCUGUGUAUCAGUGGCGAACGGGUGAGUAACACACGAGCAACCUGCCCCCUACACUGGGAUAAGCGCUGGAAACGGCGUCUAAUACUGGAUAUGAGCUCCCCCCGCACGGUCAGCAGUUGGAAAGAUUUUUCGGUCUGGGAUGGGCCCACGGCCUAUCCGCUUUUUGGUGAGGUAAUGGCUCACCAAGGGGUCGACGGGUAGCCGGCCUGGGGGGGGUACCGGCCAAACGGGGACGGGGAAACGGCCCAGAUUCCAACGGGAGGAAGAGGGGGGGAUAUUGGCACAAGGGGGGAAGGCCUGAUGCAGCAGCGCGGGGUGGGGAAGGAGGGCUUUCGGGUGGAAAACGCUUUUUAGCAGGGAAGAAGCGAAGGGGACGGAACCGGCAGAAAAGACGCCGGCUAACUACGU